Molecule: ribosomal RNA, 230 nt
Filed under: uncultured bacterium
Lineage: Bacteria
Description: partial 16S ribosomal RNA
Rfam family: Bacterial small subunit ribosomal RNA
Source: RNAcentral
AGGGUAGCGUAGGCGGCUGAUUAAGUCAGCGGUGAAAGGUAGCAGCUUAACUGUUUUACAUGCCGUUGAUACUGGUUAGCUUGAGUUGACAGAAGGCAGAUAGAAUUCCUGGUGUAGCGGUGAAAUGCUUAGAUACCAGGAGGAAUACCGAUUGCGAAGGCAGUCUGCUGCAGUCACACUGACGCUGAGGCUCGAAGGUGCGGGGAUCAAACAGGAUUAGAUACCCUUGU